AUAUCUCUCUGUACGGGAAGGAUGAGAAGCUUCGACUAAGGUUCGAUUCGAGCGUCAGCGAGAAAGCGUUGCCGCAGGCAACGACCCGAAGGGCGAAGCGCGCAGCGCUGAGUCAUCCUU
This 120-nucleotide small RNA is filed under the name Salmonella enterica. Its description in RNAcentral is "partial RtT sRNA". It matches the Rfam family "RtT RNA". From Rfam's summary of the family: This family represents a bacterial cis-regulatory element known as RtT RNA. The exact function of RtT is unknown although it is thought that it may be involved in changing the cellular response in relation to amino acid starvation. Lineage: Bacteria; Pseudomonadati; Pseudomonadota; Gammaproteobacteria; Enterobacterales; Enterobacteriaceae. RNAcentral also lists the same sequence under 3 other names. The record is from RNAcentral.